UCCCGUUGAUCCUGCGGGAGGUUGCUGCUAUUAGGGUUCGAUUAAGCUAUGCAUGUCAUCUCGCAAGAGAGGCAUACUGCUCAGUAACACGUCGACAAUCUACCCUUAGGUCUGCCAUAACCUUGGGAAACUGAGGAUAAAAGCGGAUAGGGGUUGAAUUCUGGAAGGAAUCUUUCCUGAAAGGUAACGCCUAAGGAUGAGUCGGCGGCCGAUUAGGUUGUUGGUGGUGUAAAGGACCACCAAGCCAAAGAUCGGUAGGGGUCUUGAGAGAGAUAGCCCCGAGAAGGGCACUGAGACACUGGCCCUAGCCCCACGGGGUGCAGCAGGCGCGAAACCUUUACAAUGCACGCAAGUGUGAUAAGGGGACUCUAAGUGCUUUGCUUUUGCAAGGCUUUUGCCAAGUCUAAAACGCUUGGCGAAUAAGUGGUGGGCAAGACUGGUGCCAGCCGCCGCGGUAACACCAGCUCCACGAGUGGCAACCGCAUUUAUUGGGUCUAAAGCGUCCGUAGCCGGCUUGUUAAGUCUCUUGUGAAAUCAUUGAGCUUAACUCAAUGGUGUGCUUGAGAUACUGGCAAGCUUGGAACUGGGAGGAGUCAGAAGUAUUUCUAGGGGAGCGGUAAAAUGCUAUAAUCCUAGAAGGACUACCUGUGGCGAAAGCGUCUGACUAGAACAGAUUCGACGGUGAGGGACGAAAGCUAGGGGAGCAAUCCGGAUUAGAUACCCGAGUAGUCCUAGCCAUAAACGCUGCGAGCUAGGUGUUGCAUAUUCUUCGUGAAUGUGCAGUAUCGUAGUGAAGACGUUAAGCUCGCCACCUGGGGAGUAUGGUCGCAAGACUGAAACUUAAAGGAAUUGGCGGGGGAGCACCACAAGGGGUGCGGCGUGCGGUUUAAUUUAACUCAACGCAGAGAAUCUCACCAGGAGCGACGGCAGGAUGAAGGUCAGUCUGAAGGGCUUACCCAACGAGCCGAGAGGUAGUGCAUGGCCGUCGUCAGCUCGUGCCGUAAGGUGUCCUGUUAAGUCAGGCAACGAGCGAGACCUGUAUUUACAAUUGCUAACGAGCAGUUAUGCGAUCGAGCACAUUGUAGGAACUGCUCCCGAAAGGGAGAGGAAGGUGCAGGCUACGGUAGGUCUGUAUGCUCCGAAUCUUCUGGGCUACACGCGCGCAACAAUGGUAAUGACAAUAGGAUGCAACUCCGAAAGGAGGAGCUUAUCCCCGAAACAUUAUCUUAGUCCAGAUUGUGGGCUGUAACUCGCCCACAUGACGUUGGAAUCCCUAGUAAUCAGAAUUCAAAAUGUUCUGGUGAAUAUGUCCCUGCUCCUUGCACACACCGCCCGUCAAACCACCCGAGUAGGGUCUAGAUGAGGUCUUAUUUUCAAUAAGUUCGAAUCUAGGCUUUGCGAGGAGGGUUAAGUCGUCACAAGGUA
RNAcentral lists this ribosomal RNA (1425 nucleotides) under metagenome. RNAcentral's name for it is "bacterial SSU rRNA". It matches the Rfam family "Archaeal small subunit ribosomal RNA". The record is from RNAcentral.